Molecule: ribosomal RNA, 2571 nt
Filed under: Pasteurella canis
Lineage: Bacteria; Pseudomonadati; Pseudomonadota; Gammaproteobacteria; Pasteurellales; Pasteurellaceae
Description: partial 23S ribosomal RNA
Rfam family: Bacterial large subunit ribosomal RNA
Source: RNAcentral
GGGUUGUGAGGUUAAGCGACUAAGCGUACACGGUGGAUGCCCUGGCAGUCAGAGGCGAUGAAGGGCGUGCUAAUCUGCGAUAAGCGCCGGUAAGGUGAUAUGAACCGUUAUAACCGGCGAUACCCGAAUGGGGAAACCCAGUGUGAUUCGUCACACUAUCAUUAACUGAAUCCAUAGGUUAAUGAGGCGAACCGGGGGAACUGAAACAUCUAAGUACCCCGAGGAAAAGAAAUCAACCGAGAUUCCCCCAGUAGCGGCGAGCGAACGGGGAGGAGCCCAGAGCCUGAAUCAGCAUGUGUGUUAGUGGAAGCGUCUGGAAAGGCGCGCGAUACAGGGUGACAGCCCCGUACACAAAAGCGCAUGUGCUGUGAGCUCGAUGAGUAGGGCGGGACACGUGGUAUCCUGUCUGAAUAUGGGGGGACCAUCCUCCAAGGCUAAAUACUCCUGACUGACCGAUAGUGAACCAGUACCGUGAGGGAAAGGCGAAAAGAACCCCGGCGAGGGGAGUGAAAAAGAACCUGAAACCGUGUACGUACAAGCAGUGGGAGCACAGGUUUACCUGUGUGACUGCGUACCUUUUGUAUAAUGGGUCAGCGACUUAUAUUCUGUAGCAAGGUUAACCGUAUAGGGGAGCCGUAGGGAAACCGAGUCUUAACCGGGCGUUAAGUUGCAGGGUAUAGACCCGAAACCCGGUGAUCUAGCCAUGGGCAGGUUGAAGGUUGGGUAACACUAACUGGAGGACCGAACCGACUAAUGUUGAAAAAUUAGCGGAUGACCUGUGGCUGGGGGUGAAAGGCCAAUCAAACCGGGAGAUAGCUGGUUCUCCCCGAAAGCUAUUUAGGUAGCGCCUCGUGAAUUCAUCUCCGGGGGUAGAGCACUGUUUCGGCUAGGGGGCCAUCCCGGCUUACCAACCCGAUGCAAACUGCGAAUACCGGAGAAUGUUAUCACGGGAGACACACGGCGGGUGCUAACGUCCGUCGUGAAGAGGGAAACAACCCAGACCGCCAGCUAAGGUCCCAAAGUCAUGGUUAAGUGGGAAACGAUGUGGGAAGGCCCAGACAGCCAGGAUGUUGGCUUAGAAGCAGCCAUCAUUUAAAGAAAGCGUAAUAGCUCACUGGUCGAGUCGGCCUGCGCGGAAGAUGUAACGGGGCUAAACCAUGCACCGAAGCUGCGGCAGCGAACGUAUCACCCAAGACAACUUUACGGAGUUGACGAUUGACGGAGCGAAGCGACGUCAAAGCGUUCAUUAAAGUCGAGUUGGCUUAGGGAUACGUUCGUUGGGUAGGGGAGCGUUCUGUAAGCCUGUGAAGGUGUGUCGUGAGGCAUGCUGGAGGUAUCAGAAGUGCGAAUGCUGACAUAAGUAACGAUAAAGCGGGUGAAAAGCCCGCUCGCCGGAAGACCAAGGGUUCCUGUCCAACGUUAAUCGGGGCAGGGUGAGUCGACCCCUAAGGCGAGGCCGAAAGGCGUAGUCGAUGGGAAACGGGUUAAUAUUCCCGUACUUGGUGUUACUGCGAAGGGGGGACGGAGAAGGCUAUGUUGGCCGGGCGACGGUUGUCCCGGUUUAAGCGUGUAGGUGUGUGUUCCAGGUAAAUCCGGUUCACUUUAACACUGAGGCGUGACGACGAGGCACUACGGUGCUGAAGCAACAAAUGCCCUGCUUCCAGGAAAAGCCUCUAAGCAUCAGGUAACACGAAAUCGUACCCCAAACCGACACAGGUGGUCAGGUAGAGAAUACCAAGGCGCUUGAGAGAACUCGGGUGAAGGAACUAGGCAAAAUGGUGCCGUAACUUCGGGAGAAGGCACGCUGACACGUAGGUGAAGUGAUUUACUCACGGAGCUGAAGUCAGUCGAAGAUACCAGCUGGCUGCAACUGUUUAUUAAAAACACAGCACUGUGCAAACACGAAAGUGGACGUAUACGGUGUGACGCCUGCCCGGUGCCGGAAGGUUAAUUGAUGGGGUCAGCGCAAGCGAAGCUCCUGAUCGAAGCCCCGGUAAACGGCGGCCGUAACUAUAACGGUCCUAAGGUAGCGAAAUUCCUUGUCGGGUAAGUUCCGACCUGCACGAAUGGCGUAAUGAUGGCCAGGCUGUCUCCACCCGAGACUCAGUGAAAUUGAACUCGCUGUGAAGAUGCAGUGUACCCGCGGCAAGACGGAAAGACCCCGUGAACCUUUACUAUAGCUUGACACUGAACAUUGAGCCUUGAUGUGUAGGAUAGGUGGGAGGCUUUGAAGUGUGGACGCCAGUCUGCAUGGAGCCGACCUUGAAAUACCACCCUUUAAUGUUUGAUGUUCUAACGUGGACCCGUAAUCCGGGUUGCGGACAGUGUCUGGUGGGUAGUUUGACUGGGGCGGUCUCCUCCUAAAGAGUAACGGAGGAGCACGAAGGUUGGCUAAUCCUGGUCGGACAUCAGGAGGUUAGUGCAAUGGCAUAAGCCAGCUUGACUGCGAGCGUGACGGCGCGAGCAGGUGCGAAAGCAGGUCAUAGUGAUCCGGUGGUUCUGAAUGGAAGGGCCAUCGCUCAACGGAUAAAAGGUACUCCGGGGAUAACAGGCUGAUACCGCCCAAGAGUU